This 505-nucleotide long non-coding RNA is filed under the name Ananas comosus (pineapple). Its description in RNAcentral is "long non-coding RNA (ACOM_LNC027639)". The record is from RNAcentral. Lineage: Eukaryota; Viridiplantae; Streptophyta; Magnoliopsida; Poales; Bromeliaceae.
CAAUCUUCGAUCUAGUUUUGUAUUUUUUUACUUUAGUAGCCUAUGGUUUAAAGUGCAUUAAUUUAGUACCCCGUGUUUCAUUUUUCUCUUUUCGUCGGCUCCUCUGUUAAUAUUUGGUUAAGUUAUAUACAAAAAACUUCAAAUACCCUAUCUAAAUUUAUCGAAUAUUUACUUUAGUACCUUCAGUUUUAACUUUGUCAUUGAUUUUUUUUCUUCCGCUAAUAUUUCGUUAAAUUAUAUAUUAAAAAAAAAACUUCAGAUAUCCUAUCUAGAUUUAUCGAAUAUUCACUUUAGUUCCUUUUAGUUUUAACUUUGUCACUGAUUUAACGAAAAAAUUAGUGAAAUGGAUAAUAAAAAGAGAAAAAUGAAACCACAUGGUACUAACUUGAUACACUUUAAACCACAGGAUACUAAAAUAAGAAAAUGCGAAACCACAGGGACUAUCUUGAUACACUUUAAACCACAGGGUACUAAAGUGAGAGAGUAUGAAACCACAUGCCCACAG